Molecule: ribosomal RNA, 397 nt
Filed under: uncultured bacterium
Lineage: Bacteria
Description: partial 16S ribosomal RNA
Rfam family: Bacterial small subunit ribosomal RNA
Source: RNAcentral
AUACGUAGGUGACAAGCGUUAUCCCGAUUUACUGGGCGUAAAGGGCGUGUAGGCGGUCUUGCAAGUCAGAAGUGAAAUUCCUGAGCUCAACUCGGGCGCUGCUUCUGAAACUGCAGGACUUGAGUGCUGGAGGGGAUAGCGGAAUUCCUAGUGUAGCGGUGAAAUGCGUAGAUAUUAGGAGGAACACCAGUGGCGAAGGCGGCUUUCUGGACAGUAACUGACGCUGAGGCGCGAAAGCGUGGGUAGCGAACAGGAUUAGAUACCCUGGUAGUCCACGCCGUAAACGAUGGAUACUAGGUGUAGGAGGUAUCGACCCCUUCUGUGCCGGAGUUAACACAAUAAGUAUCCCACCUGGGGAGUACGGCCGCAAGGUUGAAACUCAAAGGAAUUGACGGGG